Long non-coding RNA from Junco hyemalis (dark-eyed junco), 1872 nucleotides. The record is from Ensembl. Lineage: Eukaryota; Metazoa; Chordata; Aves; Passeriformes; Passerellidae.
CAGGGGUGACAAAAGCAGGGACAGAGUUGGGGGACAGAGGGGACAUGAAUGGGACACAAAUGGGGGACAAAGUGACACAGGAGGGUUCACAACAGGACACAGGUGACAGUUGGGGACACAAUGGGACACGGGUGGCAAAGUUGGGGACACAAGGGAGACAAAAGUGAGGACAAAUUUGGGGUUACAGUGACACAAAAAAGGGACACAACAAGAGAGGGAUGGGGACAAAAGCAGGGACACAACCGAGGACACAACCAUGGUGCCACAGCCCCGAAACGGUGACAAAACAGGGACAAAACAGUGACAAAACCAGGUGACAACAAUGUGAGGACCACAACAGGCAUGGCCGAGUGUAGCACGGACCCUGCUCAGGGUGGGGGGGGGGGGGUUCAGGUGUCACCGCACCCUCGGUGUCACCUCAUGUGGCGUUGUCACCAUGGUGGGGGUGUGGGGUGUCCGACUGUGCUGUGUGGGGCUGUCACACAGUGUGAAAUGUCACAUUUGUCACAUUUUGUGUCUGGCUGUGCCAUGUGGGGUUGUCACACGGUGUCACAUGUGUCACAUUUGUCACUUUUUGUGUCUGACUGUACCAUGUGGGGCUGUGUCAGGUUGUACCUUUAGGUUGUGCCUCAGAUUAUGUCACAUUUGUCACAUUUUGUGUCACAUUUGUCACAUUGUAUAUCCGACUGUACCACAUAAAGCUGUGUCAGGUUGUACCUCAGACUUGUGACAUUUUGUGUCACAUUUGUCACAUUUUCUGUCUGACUCUGUAGUGUGGAGCUGUGUCAGGUUGUACUUUUGGGUUGUGCCUCAGACUGUUACAUUUGUGACGCUUUGUGUCACAUUUGGUGUCCGACUGUGACGUCUGGGGCUGUCACAUGGUGUCACAUUCGUGUCACCUGUUACUUCACGUGUACGGCUGUGCUGAGCUCACACCAUGGCCUGGUAACACCCUGUGACGUCACACCCCGUGAUGUCAAACCCUGUGAUGUCACACCUCCCCUGGUGACACGGGGGAAACUCCCCCCACUCCUGACCCCCAAAAUUCCCCCCUGCUCCCCAAAUUUCUCCUUCUCUGCCCCCAAAUCCCCAAAACCUCCUCUUCCUUCUGGAUACCUCUCCCUGCCCUCCAAGCACCAAAAUUCUCAUUUUUUCCCUCAAUUUAUGGCCCCUAGUCCUUCCAAAAUUCUCCUCAAACAUUUUUUUCUGCUCCUGCCCCUCUAAAUGCUCCUUUCCUACCUCAGUUAUAACCCCACAUCCCUCCUGCUCUGCAAAAAAACCUUAAAGCCUUUAAUUGCGCCCCCAACCCCUUCUGCCUCCUCAGAUUUCUCUUUCCUGCUCCUAAAAUACUCCUGAAUCCCACUGCGCCUCGCUAAACCCCUUCCUCAGCUUCCCUCCGGAACAGGCCGCAAAGCCUCGGCCUUUCCCAGCGGCCACAGCCGGGCCGGGAGCGCCGGGAGCGGCCGGGCCGGGCGGGCGAAGCCGGGGCUGCGCAGGCCGCUGCUGGAGCGGUGCUUCGCCCAUUUCCGGCACUUUCCGCCUUUACUUCGGUAUUUUUCGUCAGAUAUUCGGGUAUUUCCGGAAUUUUCCGCUCAUGCUUCGGCAUCUUUCGACAACUUCCGCCAAAACUUCGGCCAGUUCCGGCUCUUUCCGUCAACGUUCGGGCACCGCCGGUUAACUUCGAGCAUUUCCGUCUCUCCCCGGAGGCCCUUCGGCGGUCUCCGCCCACUUCCGUCGGUGCUUCGGAACUCUCCGUCAAUCUCCGCCAGCUCUGAGGUCACUCCGUCACCCUCCCUCUGCCCCCGCCGUCUCUCGGCUCUCGGGCUCGGGGGGGCGGUGCUUUUUAAAUAAAUUAUUCAUGAACCGAUCCCA